AAUGAAUCUCAUUCUUACUAAUACAUGGAGAGUGGAUUGGAGGCCAGAGUGGAAGUAGAGACCAGUUGAAAAGGCAGUAAUAAUGUUUGGAGUUGGUCGGAGAAGACCCUUUCCCAUUCUCUUUUGCUCCAGACCUUCCCAAAACGCAACCACUCAAGUUUUACAGGGUAAUUUUGGAGAAUGUCCCAUGUAUCCAAGAAUGUGUUUUCUGCAGCUGCUGCAUAAAAUGUGUUGGUGCAAACAAAACAUGUCUGCGGUGGUCAACAGAAAGGCAAAUUAUUCCUGGAUGGAAUCGAUAAAAUUUGGAGGUAGAUAAAAAUGCAAUGCAGAUAUAAAAACUGAGUCCCUGCUGUAUUGGCGAGUUCUGUAGAAUUAAUGUUAACGUUAUAAAAUUAGUUCCAAAAUUUAAUAAAAGCCUGAACUUAUGAUGUUAAAGAUUAGUCACUGAUCAUACUGUUAAUAUUUUAACAAAAAAUUCUAAUAAUUGAAUAUUUCUCUUUUGUACCAAUAAGUAUGUAAUCUGUUGUCAUUGCCUAUUUGUGUUACUUUAGCCACAUAUUGUAAUUAAAUAUGCUAGAAAUAAUCUUCACCAUAAUAUUAAUACUAUUUCUCCUAAUCCUCAAUCCAAAUGACAACUUAAAACUUUCCC
This 649-nucleotide long non-coding RNA is filed under the name Homo sapiens (human). Its description in RNAcentral is "HSALNT0293114". The record is from RNAcentral. Lineage: Eukaryota; Metazoa; Chordata; Mammalia; Primates; Hominidae.